UGGGGAAUUUUGCACAAUGGGGGAAACCCUGAUGCAGCGACGCCGCGUGAUUUAGAAGGCCUUCGGGUUGUAAAAAUCUUUUCUAUGGGAAGAAAAUGACAGUACCAUAGGAAUAAGGACCGGCUAAUUACGUGCCAGCAGCCGCGGUAAUACGUAAGGUCCGAGCGUUGUCCGGAAUCAUUGGGCGUAAAGGGUACGUAGGCGGGUAAGCAAGUUAGAAGAGAAAUCCUAUAGCUCAACUAUAGUAAGCUUUUAAAACUGCUCAUCUUGAGGUAUGGAAGGGAAAGUGGAAUUCCUAGUGUAGCGGUGAAAUGCGCAGAUAUUAGGAGGAAUACCGGUGGCGAAGGCGACUUUCUGGCCAUAACCUGACGCUGAGGUACGAAAGCGUGGGUAGCAAACAGG
Molecule: ribosomal RNA, 402 nt
Filed under: Fusobacteriota bacterium
Lineage: Bacteria; Fusobacteriati; Fusobacteriota
Description: Fusobacteria bacterium partial 16S ribosomal RNA
Rfam family: Bacterial small subunit ribosomal RNA
Source: RNAcentral